AAUUACAUCCUGAAUGUGUAAUUACCAUUAGAUUUUUACCUUACAUAUUUACUUAGAAGAUCCAGCCUUGCCAGUUGCCACCGAUCUCCCGACACCAAGUUGUCACAUCAAUAUUCUCUACCCCACUUUUGAUUUUUUCUAAUAAAAAAAAAGUAGUAUUGUAAUUGAUAUGCAGUAACCCAAACCGGAAAACAUAGCUGGUAAGCUUUACCAAUUUUGGUUUAUUCCUCAUGCAAGCCAAUGUUACAUGAAGUUAAUAGGGCACAAAAAAGAGAAAACAAAAGUACCUAAUGAGCUGGUCUUACUUUGUUCACGUGAUUACUGAAACACAACAUGUGAUGUGGAUCAUCCAAUGGCAAUUAACGAACAAACAAGGGCUACUUGAUAUGUUACACAACAUUUGAUGAUAUAAUCUCAACUUAUAUACACAGAUAACACAACAUUUGUUUCACAUAUUAGUGUAGCUAUACCUGCUGUAAUAGGUCAUUUAUCAUGUCUUGUAAGUUAUAAAUCCACACGUAAUUGUAAUUGGUUAUAUAUGUAACUUUUCGACCUUGUGGUUGAUCAGGAUUAUUGCCUAACGGAAACUUCGAGCAAGGUCCAAAAGCAUCACAAAUGAAGGGGACAAAAGUGACAGACCCACACGCAAUACCUCACUGGGAAAUAUCAGGCUAUGUAGAAUACAUUAAAGCUGGACAAACACAAGGUGACAUGUUGCUUCCAGUGCCAGAAGGAGCUUUUGCUGUUAGGCUUGGGGAAGACGCCUACAUCAAGACCAGAGUCACGAAUGUCACUAAUGGGACUUUCUACUCUCUGUCUUUCAACUUUGCUAGGACUUGUGCUCAAGAAGAGAAACUCAAUGUGUCGGUGUCGCCUAAUAAUGAGCCUAACGACUGGGCAAUGCUUCCUAUGCAGACUAUGUAUAGUAGUGAUGGUUGGGACUCAUAUUCAUGGGGUUUCUUGGCCCAAGCCAAUGAGAUUGAAAUCAUGUUACACAAUCCAGCAGUUGAGAAGGACCCAGCUUGUGGCCCACUCAUUGAUUUCAUCGCUCUCAAGGCUCUGAAAACCCCCCAUAGACCAAAAGGUAAUUUUCCCUCAUCUCUCUUGUCCAUGUGCAUUUAAGUUGGGAGGCCACGUAUAACUUUUAUUCUAAGGGGUCGUUUGGUUGGGAACAAGUUAUCUUGAAGUUAGCUUAUCCCACCAUGUAUAUGGGAUAUCUUAUCCCAUCGCUAUGAUAUAAAUGGUGGGAUAAAUUAUCCCAAACAUGGCAACCAAACAAGAUACAAAAUUUUUAUCCCAUCACUAUUUAUUUUUAUCCCUCACACCAAGUGACCCCUAAGUGUGUUUAAAAGUAGUACUUCAAAUGCUAAUACAUAAAAUGAAAGCAGGCAACAUGUUGAAGAAUGGAAACUUUGAAGAGGGUCCAUAUAUCUUCCCCAACACAAGCUGGGGUGUUCUAAUUCCUCCAAACAUUGAGGAUGAUCACUCACCUUUGCCUGGAUGGAUGAUCGAAUCUCUCAAGGCAGUAAAAUACAUUGAUGCUGAACACUUCACCGUGCCAGAGGGUAAGCGCGCCAUCGAGCUUGUGGCAGGAAGAGAAAGCGCAAUAGCACAAAUAGUGAGGACUCAGAAGGGAAAAGUGUAUGACCUUAUGUUCUCAGUUGGAGAUGCGAGCAAUUCCUGCCAAGGGUCUAUGCUUAUAGAGGCAUUUGCUGGAAAUAUCACUUUGCGAGUCCCCUAUGAAUCUGCAGGUAAAGGAGGAUUCAAACGGGCCAAGCUUCGGUUCACCGCAGUAACUGAGCGCACCAGAGUCAGGUUCUUGAGCACAUACUACCACAUGAAGAGUGAUCACUCUGGCUCCUUGUGUGGUCCUGUGGUUGAUGAUGUGAGAUUAGUCGGAGUUCGCUAUCCAUAAAUUCCAUAGAUCAAUUAAUUACUAGUAAUAUAGAAGCUAUGAUGGUUAUUACUUUAUUUGCUUCGCCUUUUCUUUCUUCUUACAGCAUUGCUUAUGCGAGGGAAUCAGUUACUAUUCCAUGUAAUGUUACUAUAGCAGACAUGUUCCUUUCUCCAUAUAGCAAAAGAAAUUAGAAGGUUUAAAUCAUUUAGUCUUCGUUGUCAUAUCUUACAUGUACCUACAAAAUUUCAAGAAAUCAAAUAAAAUUACCUCCAUCAAUCUGCUCUCGCUGUCAAUAUUAAAUUAGAUCAAUAAAAAUUCUAUCUUCCUUAUUUUUUAAUAUAUAGGUAAUCCAAACUGGCAAACUCUAUCUUAGACUCCAAAGAAGAGAUGACUCUAAACAAAUCAUUGCCACAUACUAAACAAAGUACGGUUAAAAUAUCAAGCAAGUGGCACACACAUUUUUCCUUACUCUUUAUCCAUUCUAAAUUGCUAUUCCAGUCUGCUAUAUCUUAUCGGAUAAUGCAAGUUAACUCCAAUUUAUUGUCAUCUAAAACUGAAACUCACUUGAUUUGGUCCAAAAUUCACUAAGAGAAGAAAUUUAAUUACUUAUUUCUAUAGAUUACCUAAGUCAUAAGACAUCCAUUAUCAAAGCCGGCAGCUGCUUCAUUAGCAGAAGGCUGUGGAACUCGAUCACUCAGUUUUCUGGGUUGAGUGAACAUCUAACCUUCAUCAUUAGCCUCAUCCUCAAUUUCUGCCACCAUGGCCUUAGUUUCUUCUUCAAUUCCCUAAUGUAUAUGCCAUUUCAACAAGAUCACAACAGAAAUUAGCGACUUUAAGUGGCAAUAUCCACACUCUUGGUGACCUUGAUGAAUCCUAUCCAGUAUAAGCAAUGUUUGCAAAGUUACAGAGCCCAAGGACUUCAGCACCUAUAAGGCUAUAACUGCAAAUGCUCUGAAAGUCUUUAAUCCCGGUAGAUCCAAGCAAGGAUGUAGGUUCAUGCUCUGUAACAAAUCAUAGAACAAUCUAGUUGGGCCAUGCAUAUUUCUAUAGCAAUAUAAUUUGCAAAGCAGCUAUGCCAAUGUAAAGGACAACAACACCACUACCUAAGUAGAAGCCAGAACUAUCCCGCUGCUUUAAAUGAUGAAUGGAGUGUACACUCUCUAUAUAUUAGCAAAACAAUAGCACUUGCUCUUCUUAACAAGCUACUCCUGCUUCGAAUAUAAAGGGAUUACUAAAAUUUUGGAAUAUGGAAAAAAAAAAAAAGGAAAAGAUAUAUCUCAUUCAAAUUUCAAACUGAACUUCCGAUAUAUGUGUCACAGUACUAAUCCAAGGAAGGAGGAUACUCAAAAAAAUCAAACAAGGAUUCCCACCAUUUCACUCAUAGCAAGGGUUCCGAAAUCUUUUUAUUAAUCUAAUUAUAAUGGAUUGUUAAAAAACUUUGUAGGCACAAGGCCAAAAAAAAUUCAAGAAUAUUUUACCGUGUUCGAAAGCUGAAGUCGUCUCUCCAGCAUGUUGCUUCGGCAACUACAGAGUUGAUCCAUCCAAAUCCUGAACUGAAAAAUUAAAGAGAAUCAAAUUUUGGCAAAAGUGAAACCUGGACUCUCAAUCAGAUUCGGGUCAAUUUUAAUAACCCGACAACUCCUUAAACAUGGACCGAAUUGCUACACUGGGG
This 3569-nucleotide long non-coding RNA is filed under the name Solanum tuberosum (potato). Its description in RNAcentral is "long non-coding RNA (STUB_LNC004228)". The record is from RNAcentral. Lineage: Eukaryota; Viridiplantae; Streptophyta; Magnoliopsida; Solanales; Solanaceae.